Molecule: long non-coding RNA, 5743 nt
Filed under: Homo sapiens (human)
Lineage: Eukaryota; Metazoa; Chordata; Mammalia; Primates; Hominidae
Description: HSALNT0240142
Source: RNAcentral
CCUGGGAAACCUAGGUGGACCCGGUCUCUAGAGAAAAGUCAAAGAAAUUAGCCAGGCAUGGUGGCGUGUGCCUAUAGUCCCACCUAGUCAGGAGGCUGAGGCAGGAGGAUUGCUGGAGCCCACGAGUUCCAGGAAGCAGUGAGCCAUGAUUGCACCACUGCACUCCAGCCUGGGUGACAGAGUGAGACUUUAUCUCUUAAAAAAAUUUAAGAAAUUUAAUGUGGGUACAGUUCUAUUAACUAAAUAAUAAUGUGAACUAUUAUCUAAGGUUAUGAAGGCUAGAAUUAUCCCAUUUUUGCCUAACUUCUCGUACCUGUCCCAAGAUCCCACCUUGGACUCACCCUCUGCCUUCAGCUCACGUCUCUUCAGCUUCCUCCACAUGGUCCAGCAAACACACACCUGGGCUGAAUGGUAGAGCUGAUUGCUCAUACACAAAGGUAGACCGGUGGGCAGGGAUUUUCAGACUUACACAGUCAAUGAGUUUUCCUUGGUGUUCUGGAGAGCACCGUUUGAGAAACACUUUGACAGUGAAUCUAGGCCUCAAGAUCCAUCAGCUGCUCUAGCUUGAAUUUUGCUCAAGCUCAGUGAACACCUGCUCUGCCGGGUGCACGUGAAAGGGGCAAGGAUGAGAAAGCUGUAGAUAAAGAAGACAGGACGCAGGGGGUCUGUCUAAGCUCUAUCCCCUGCCUUCAGCACUGAGGGAUGAAAUCCAACUCUUAGGGAACGGUGGCCACGUGCUGGGCCAGCCCCAGGCUCUCAGGAUCUGACAGUGGGUGACGCAGAGCCAGGCCUUGCCCCUGGGGAGCUCUCCAGCAUACACCUCCCUCUCCCCUCCCAGCGUGCCGCAAAGCAGGCGUCAACGCCAUUGUUAAUGCACGGAGGAGGAAGCUGACUGUUAGACCUGGGUUUUCCAGGGUUGCACGGCUUCUGGGAGACGGAUGUGACCCUGAGGACAGGGCACAGGCCAGUGUAAUGCCAGGAUGGAAUGAGCUGUGAUCUGUGCUGUAUAGAGGCCUAGGCCAAGGUGGGACUGACGGAUGACCAGGUCAGCCGGGUCACUGAAAACACUCUUGGGUCCUCACCUGCCGGUUCCCAGGAGUCCGGAACUGCCAGGAGAGUGGUGGCAGGUCCCCCAUCCUCAGCUGGGUGGGCCUGGAUAGAACAGCAAGGCGAGGGCACAUUUCCCUGGCCAUUCCCUCCAGGCACAGCCGUGACCUGUUCAUUCCAAAUUUGUGGAAGUAUUUCCACACACACAGAACUGCAAAUAGCAGUGGACAUGGUGAGAGGCGUUUGCACAUGGGAUAGGCAGGAUUUUGGAGGCAGAGCCUCCAGGGCUUGCCGAUGGGUUAGCUGCAGGGCUUGAGAGGGAACGGAGAAUCCAGGAUGAUGUGUUCAAAUCGGUCCAUUCACCUCUUCCGUUCCACGCCUGUGCUGGGCACUGGGAGAGACAGAUGCACACAGGAGCCCCGGCCGAGGGGAGGUGUCGGGGGAAGCCCAGAGUGUCUGGGCAGGGUAGGAAACCCAGAGCGUCUACUGGGAGCUGAAGGCUUAGGUCCACCUGGGUGCCGUCCAGGUUCUCUGCAUGUAGAAGUAUAGGCUGAGCUUCCCGGAGGAGGAGCAGCUGCUGUUGCUGGUGACCAGCACAUUCAGGAACGGAGACUACUCUGUCAACAGACAGGGGGAUGACCUGAGGUCUGGAUGGUCUAGGGGGUGGUAGGGCCCAGGAGGACCCAGGAAAGGGUCUCGGGGAUGCAGAACAUCCUAUGGAGGGCAUUUGGGAGUCAGUGCUCAGGCCACUCCGGGUCACGCAGGUCAUUUGCCGGCCUCUGUCAUAAUUAUUGCCAUAUGAGAGUGCCACCUUUCCUGUGACAUAAUUUAGACAUUCCUGUGAAUGGCCUACCUGUUUAUAUUUACAACUUCAUGUUUAAAGGAAAUUUGUAUCACUCUCAUAAAUGGAAAGCCAGCAAAACAUAAAUUCAAUGAAAACAAAAUGAAGUCAAUGAACUUUAGCUAGAUACUAUUCCCUGACCAAGGCCUGCUGGAGGCCGUACAACCGGGGUUUGAAUUGAGAUCUGCCAAGCUUCUGAGUUUAUUCUGUUUCCCCCACACCAAGGAUCCUCAAUACUGCAUUACUGACAUCAGGGGCCAGACAAUUCUUUGCGAUGGGGGCUGUCCUGCACCUGGCAGGAUGUUUAGCAGCUUCUCUGGCCUCCACCCACUGGAUGCCAGGGGAAUGCAGAAGAGGCUUGCUUAUUCUCCCAUUUAAUGCUCAGGACAAUAUCUGACAUCAAUGUUACGUCUUUUAUUUUAUAAAUGAAGACAAUGAGACUCAGAAAGGUUUAAGUGAGUCACCUAAGAACACACAGACAGCAAGAGGUAGAACCCGAAACUGAACACAGGUGUCCACAAGACAACAAAAAAGUUCAGGUUCCAGCUUCCUUUGAGUCUCUCAUUUCAACAAUGGCCAUCAUCUGCAUACGAGCUGAAGUACAGGAAAGCUGGGCUGAACUCUCUUCCCAUCAGGCCUAGGAGCCCCAGACCAGAACCCCAGCCCAAGUUCUCCCAGUCAGGCCCGCUGGAGGGAGCUGGCAUCUACACUAGCAUGGUUUCUCAAAGCUACAGGGAUGCCAGUCUCGCUGCUGAUGAAGAAAAUGAAGGGCAUUUGCUUCUCCUGCAGGCUGUCGGGAUUUAACACAGAUUCCUUUUCUUGCUCUCUUCUCCCAUAGCACAAAACUGGGUGGUCCAUCCCCCUCCCAGUGUCCCAAGGCUUUGUUGCGUGUUCUCUUUAAUUUCUCCCACUCUCGCAGUGCACCCUACCCUCGUCUCCCUGGCAACCUUUCUGCUCUAUCCUCUCGCCACCUGGAUCACAAGAACACUUGUGAGACCCCUUAACAAGCUACAUCCCAAAUUAUCAUUCCCCUUUGUCCUCAGCCAGUGCCCGGGUCCAACUCGCUCUCCUGGGGUGACUUUCUUUCCUGCCCAAUAUGGUUUCAUCAUCUGUAAAUUGGGGAUAAUUGAAGUCUUGAUCCUGAUAUUGGGCUCUGAAAGCAGAAGUAGCAAGCUCAGCCAAGUCACUUCAACAAGAGGAGACGUUCCUUGUGAACCAAAAGGGCACUGGUCACAAGGGCCGCUCCUUCUCUCAGGCCUCUCCAGCACGCCCUUGGCUCAGCCAAAGAAGAGACUCAGGCUGUGCUUCUGUGCUGUGGGGAUAACGUAGGUACCUGGUCCUUGACCCUGGGACUUUAACAGUUCCCUCUUGUGGCUCAGUUCUACAGCUUCAAUGACACAAAGUGGCUUUUGCUCAAAAUAGCCUUUGAUAGGUUAAGGUACUCCUCUGCCACUCUAAGUCUGUGUGGAACAGACAGGGUUUUGCUUCACAGAGAAGAUGCAUAAAAUUUGGUCUUAAAAAUGAGUUCACCAUGCACACAUACACACGAAAAAAGUAAAUACUGCAUUACUGUAUAUAUGAGGUUCCAAAAUAGGCAAAACUAAUUUAUGGUGACAGAAUAGUGGUGACCUCUGAGGGUCAGUGUUGACUGGGAGAGAACAGAAGAGAGCCUACUGGGGUGCUGGAAAUGUUCUGUAUCUUAAUUUUGCAGGAUAAUUCCUUGGAUGCAUCCCUAAAAAUUCAGUCAAGCUAUAUAGUAAGAUUUGUGCAGUUUAUGUAAGUAAUAGGAGAGAUAAGAGGGGGAACCUGUGGAGAAGCAGAACAUUUCAAGAUCUAGAAAGCAACAGUUGCAAGGGUACACAGUGUUCAGACAGGGACCAAAUCAUAGAAACUACUAGGGCUUGCCAUGCUGAAAUGACUGACUUCAAACCAUAGGGCAUACGUACCUUCCACUGAAGAAGAGCACCUGAGUAAAAUGACUAGAGGUGCAUUUCAAAGAUUAUUCUAUGGGAAAUAUAAAGAACGAAUUGGAGGAGUAGGAGGCAAAUAGUCCAAGGGACAGAUACAGAUCUUUCUUUUUCUUUUUUUUUUUUUUUUGAGAUAGGGUCUCCCUCUGUCACCCUAGCUGGAGUGCAUUUCUGCGAUCAUGGCUCACUGCAGCCUCUACUUCCUGCGCUCAUGCAAUCCUUCCAUCUCAGCCUCCCAAGUAUCUGGGACUCCAGAUGUGCGGACCACACCUGGCUAAUUUUUUUAUUUUGUUGUAGUAAUGGGAAUCUCACUGUUGUUUCCCAGGCUGGUCUUGAACUCCUGAACUCAGGCAAUCUUCUGGCCUUAACCUCUCAAAGUGCUGGGAUUACAGGUAUGGGCUACAGUGCCUGGCCUUAUUAAAAUGUUGAUGUAAUAAAUGGGACUACCUAGUGCUGUGCUUUCUCCUUAAAGGAGAGAGCUGACAGAAUAAAACUAGCAGUAAUAAUCUGGUAAAUUGUGCUUUCUACAGAGUAAAUUUUGUUUGUCUCAUGACAUUUAUGCAAAUAUUCAAAUGUUUCAGGAAUAUAAACAUUUAAAAUUUGGGUUAUAAAUAAUGCCUCCUGGCUCUGAAAUUAUCUGAAUUCAUGAAGCAAUCAGUAGUAAAUAUGAAGGAAAAAUGAAACACAGCCUUAUAUGCAAGGACAAACACAAAUUUCUAAUUCUUGUUAUAAUUUGGGUGCCCACCUGGUUUUGAAGGUGAGCCUUGGUCUGACUGGUUCUGAGACAUUUCUCUCAAAUAGCAAAUGAGUAGUGGGUAUGAAUAGGGUACAUUGGAAAGUCAUGUCAAAAUUCCAUGUAAUUUUUGGAGCGUUUUUUCUCCCAUAUGAUUUAUAUAAUUUGACAUGUGUAUUCCUAUGUAAAAUAUUUAACCACUUCUCUACAAUAAGCAUUAAGUGGGCUCAUUAGUAUGCUCUUCUUAUUCCAUAUUUCUGUGAUUUCUCUUAUCUGGAACGACUUUUUUAUGCCACCCAGGCUGGAGUGCAGUGGCACAUUUACUGCUCACUGCAGCCUCAACUCCCCAGGGUCAAGCCAUCCUCCUAUUUCAGCUUCCCUAGCAGCUAGGACUACAGGUGUGCACCACUAUGCCCUGCUAAUUUUUGUGUUUUUUUGUAGAGACGGGGUUUUGCUAUGUUGCCCCGGCUGGUCUUGAACUCCUGAGCUCAAGAGAUCCACCCACCGCAACCUCCCAAAGUGUUGGGAUUACAGGCGUGAGCCACUGCACUCAGCUUCUUUUCUAAUUUGUUUUUAUUCUGAGAUCAGAUGAGAUCAGCAUGUUCAGAGCCCAGACUGUGAACCUGCACUCCCUGGAGGAAUGGCUGAUUCCAAGUGUGGGGAAAAUGUACAAGAUAAGCAUAGAACACCAGUUUCCUUAUUUUGCUCUCUCGUACAACACCAGACAAUGUGCUCAUGUCAAAAGGACUCAGAACCCAACAUGAAGAUGCACCCAGCAUUCACUGCACCCAGCAUUCAACGAAGGGAAAAAACGAGCACCAAUAAAAAUAACUGCUAGGUGCGGUGGCUCACGCCUAUCAUCCCAACACUUUGGGAGGCAGAGGCAGGUGGAUUGCUUUUGAGCUCAGGAUUUGAAGACCAGCCUGGUGAACACGGCAAAACCCCGUCUCUACCAGAAACACAAAAAUUAGCUGGGCAUGAUGGUGUACCUGUGGUCCCAGCUACUCAAGAGGGUGAGGUGGGAGGAUUGCUGGAGGUCGGGACGUCAAGCCUGCAGUGGGCAGCGAUCAUACCACUGCACUACAGCUUGGGUGACAGAGUUAAGACCCUGCCUCAAAACAAUAAAUGAAUAAAUAAAAAUAAAAUAAAAAUAAC